Non-coding RNA from Durio zibethinus, 593 nucleotides. The record is from RefSeq and is a predicted model, not a curated record. NCBI's taxonomy places the organism in Eukaryota, Viridiplantae, Streptophyta, Magnoliopsida, Malvales, Malvaceae.
ACAUGUAACCGUUUCAUUUUUUUUUGGCAAAAAUUUAGCCGUUAGGUUCGCUCCCAAACAUCUCUAUCCUUUCCACUAAGUCUUUUUCCCACUGCCUCACAAACUUCUCUCCUAUCCUGUCUCCAAAAUUUCCACUUUCCAAACAGUAACAAACCUCUCUUAGCACUUGGUUCAGAUCCUGAGGUUGAAACUAGCUUACUGUUUACAAGUCUGGGGCCGGUACGAUGAGGGAGAGAGCGAAGCGUUUAGGGUUUUAGAGAGGCAUAGGGCGAAAUCUGAUUCAGAAGGGAAAUUCGAUGUCGGCUGAGUAUGCAAGGUCGACGAUGAAAGAUCAAGUUUAUAAGUUUGCCUUCCUCUUUAUUCUCGCUGGAGGAGAGCCAGAGUUCAGUUUCUAUUGACUUAGUAAGCUUUGUGUUGGCCUUUUAUUCCCGUGAACAAUUUGUAAGUUUUGGGCUCUAGAUUCAUGCUACCAACAAUUUCUCAAUACCAAUGCUGCUUGUGUUUGAUUUGAUGGGGAAAGAAUAAGUAGUUUGAUAUUUUACCUUUUGUGCCUGAAUAGUGGCACCUAGUUGUAAAUUUGUGUUUUCUCGUUA